AAGCCAGUGGUGAACUCCACAUACGCAUCCUUUGCUGAGGAUACGGUUAACGGAGCGAAAGCGACGUUCAACCUCAAAAGAAGCAGAGGGGGCUUAGUGGUGGGGUGACUGCGUACCUUUUGUAUAAUGGGUCAGCGACUUAUAUUCUGUAGCAAGGUUAACCGCAUAGGGGAGCCGUAGGGAAACCGAGUCUUAACCGGGCGUUAAGUUGCAGGGUAUAGACCCGAAACCCGGUGAUCUAGCCAUGGGCAGGUUGAAGGUUGGGUAACACUAACUGGAGGACCGAACCGACUAAUGUUGAAAAAUUAGCGGAUGACCUGUGGCUGGGGGUGAAAGGCCAAUCAAACCGGGAGAUAGCUGGUUCUCCCCGAAAGCUAUUUAGGUAGCGCCUCGUGAAUUCAUCUCCGGGGGUAGAGCACUGUUUCGGCUAGGGGGCCAUCCCGGCUUACCAACCCGAUGCAAACUGCGAAUACCGGAGAAUGUUAUCACGGGAGACACACGGCGGGUGCUAACGUCCGUCGUGAAGAGGGAAACAACCCAGACCGCCAGCUAAGGUCCCAAAGUCAUGGUUAAGUGGGAAACGAUGUGGGAAGGCCCAGACAGCCAGGAUGUUGGCUUAGAAGCAGCCAUCAUUUAAAGAAAGCGUAAUAGCUCACUGGUCGAGUCGGCCUGCGCGGAAGAUGUAACGGGGCUAAACCAUGCACCGAAGCUGCGGCAGCGAACGUAUCACUUAAAGCGAUUCAGCGGGUUACGAUUGACGGAGCGAAGCGACGUCAAAGCGUAUACAAAGUCGAGUCGGUUUAAGGAUACGUU
Molecule: ribosomal RNA, 813 nt
Filed under: Salmonella enterica subsp. enterica serovar Corvallis
Lineage: Bacteria; Pseudomonadati; Pseudomonadota; Gammaproteobacteria; Enterobacterales; Enterobacteriaceae
Description: partial 23S ribosomal RNA
Rfam family: Bacterial large subunit ribosomal RNA
Source: RNAcentral